GUCGUGCGUUUCACAACUAACUAUAAGAAAGCACAUGUUUACGAGUGCAAAAACUCUCAGCAAAAAUAGUCAUUCUCCCUCAAGGACCGAGUCUCCGAACCAAAUCUACAUCCUUCACGUGUCCCUCUCUGCCGGACAUGGAGAGGCCGCUGCUUAACGGAAGUCUCACCUCCGGCGACGGAGACUACUUGCCAGUGAGGAGUUUCAAGGAGAUAAAGUCUGUGUUUUGGAUUGAGACAGUGAAGUUGUGGAAGAUUGCCGCUCCAAUUGUGUUUAAUACCCUGUGCCAAUAUGGGAUAAACUCGGUUACCAACAUAUUUGUGGGUCAUGUUGGAAAUUUUGAGCUUUCUGCCGUUGCCAUUUCUCUCUCUGUUAUUGGCACCUUUUCUUUUGGAUUCAUGCUUGGAAUGGGGAGUGCACUGGAGACGCUCUGUGGUCAAGCUUUUGGUGCUGGGCGAGUUCACAUGCUUGGUAUUUACAUGCAGCGGUCAUGGAUUAUCUUAUUCGUGACUUGUAUCUUCUUGUUGCCCAUUUACAUUUUCGCUAGUCCUAUAUUGAAGCUCCUUGGGCAAGAAGAAAGUGUCGCAGACUAUGCUGGAAAUUUUACUUUACUAAUUAUCCCGCAGUUGUUUUCACUUGCCAUCAAUUUCCCUACCACAAAGUUCCUUCAGGCUCAAAGCAAGGUUACUGCGCUUGCCUGGAUCGGCUUCGUGGCUCUGAUCCUGCACAUUCCUUUGCUCUGGCUCUUGAUUUUUGUAUUUAGCUGGGGUACAACUGGUGCAGCCAUAGCAUUUGAUAUUACUAAUUGGGGAAUGGUUGUGGCUCAAGUUGUUUAUGUCAUGGGAUGGUGCAAGGACGGUUGGCAAGGAUUUUCUUGGUCUGCGUUUAAAGAGAUUUGGGCUUUUGUUCGGCUCUCACUUGCCUCAGCUGUUAUGCUUUGCCUAGAAAUUUGGUAUAUGAUGAGCAUUAUUGUGCUUACUGGCCAUCUUGGUAAUGCAGUGAUUGCAGUUGAUUCCCUCUCUAUAUGGUGAGUUAAUUAGUCUUCAGAUUUUACCAAAUCACAAAAUAUUCAAAUGUGUUUAUCAUAAUUCAUGGCAAUCAGAUGCCCUAUAACGGCAUUGUUUAGUGGCUCAAAAGUUUUUUUUACAGAAGUUGGAUCCUUCCUAUUGGUAAUCAUUCAAUUUUUGUUUUCAUUUUUGGCGCUUAUCUCACUUGUUUCCCCCUAUUUCAGUAUGAAUUUCAAUGGUUGGGAGGCUAUGUUGUUCAUUGGAAUAAAUGCAGCUAUAAGGUAAACCAAAGGAACUCUACUUUUGAAUGAAUAUAACUAACAAAUUAAUUCAAUUACUAUGUUACGAUGGGAGGAUAUAUUCCUAGGGAUACAUGGUUAAGUAACUGGAUGGAUGUUUCAAACUUCAAGAAGGCGUUAGCAUCUUUGUGUCUCUGGUCUAGAAAGUCCUGCAAAUAUUUUGUAUUUCUUUCUAAUAUGUUUCAUGGUUAUUCUGUAAGGUUUGGGAUUCAAUGAGUGUUUGUCUUCCUUGCUUUGCCACUACUAUCUGUAAAAUAUUUUAAAAUUCUUUUUCCUCUUCAGCGUUCGUGUCUCCAAUGAGCUUGGAUCAGGACAUCCAAGAGCAGCCAAAUAUUCCGUAUAUGUGACUGUAUUUCAGUCCUUCCUCAUUGGAAUUCUUUUCAUGCUCAUCAUAUUGAUAGCCAAGGACUAUUUUGCAAUCAUUUUCACUAACAGCAAAGAUCUGCAAGUAGCCGUCUCCAAGCUAGCAUUUCUCCUUGCCCUCACCAUGGUUCUUAACAGUGUUCAGCCAGUGAUAGGAGGUACAAUUGGAUUUCGCCGCAAAACUCACAUCAUUCAUUUUCCAGCCUCUCCUUAUUAUGGUUUUUAUGCUAAUUUUGUAGGUGUUGCCAUUGGGAGUGGUUGGCAAGCAUUAGUGGCCUAUAUCAACAUCGGUUGCUACUAUAUUUUUGGGCUUCCUCUUGGUUUCCUGCUUGGUUACAAAGCAAACUUAGGAGUGAAGGUACAGUAACUUUGUUCCACCAUUUCUGUGCUUGCUUGAUGACCUUCACCAUUAUGAUUCAACUUAACUAGCCAUUGCCACAUUGUUCUUAGUUUCUGCAGUUGCUAAUUGUAUAUUGCUUUUAUAGUUGCUCGUUCUUAAUGAUUAGUUGAUGUAGUAAGUAAAGGGUUCCAUUGCUGUAGGGAGUCUGGGGGGGAAUGAUAGCUGGAACUGCUUUGCAGACCUUGCUGCUCUUGAUAGUACUUUACAGAACCAACUGGAACAAAGAGGUAAAUGGAAAAAUUUCCUUAAAAGUGAUGGACUGAUAAUCUUGCUAUGGAUGACCUUUGAUUGUAGUUUUCAGUGGUCCUUCUUCCAUGAUAAAGAAGUAUAAAUUGAUUUUGCAGGUAGAGCAAACAUCAGAGCGCGUGCGGAGGUGGGGUGGACAAGAAGUGGACAAGGAGAAUACUGUUGAUGGUGUAUGAAAUGUGCCAUUUGAAAAAGCUGUGAACAAUUCUAUAGGUUCCUCCAUUAUUGUUUGAACGCCUCCAAUGGUGGAAACUUUAAACUCUUAUGUAGCAGUUGUUGCUUGAUCUCUUGAUCUUGCCUCUAGAGUUUAAUGCGGCAAUGUACUUGUUCAGCUUGUCGAAAUUUUUAACUGGCAUGAAUGCUUUUUGUUCAUGCUUUUUCUCAAUUAGAUUAUUGCAAGUUUCAGAUAGUCAUGCUUCAUGAAUGUGUGCAGUGAAUUACACUCGGUUUAUUAUAUGAAAUCAAUAAACGGUGUCAUGAAU
This 2797-nucleotide unclassified non-coding RNA is filed under the name Hevea brasiliensis (rubber tree). The record is from RNAcentral. Lineage: Eukaryota; Viridiplantae; Streptophyta; Magnoliopsida; Malpighiales; Euphorbiaceae.